UUUGCCUAGAUUCUGCAGCUCAUUUCAUUGUCUCCUUGGGUUGUGGAUAUAUGACUGCUUACUCUUUCAUGAUGCACUCUUUAAACUGUCAUUUCACUGAUGUAGACUUCCAAGAAAAAUAGGUGGCAUCCAAUCCAUGCCCCAUAGGGUAGCACUAUCUGGAUUUAAAAUGCGGAUCUUGAAGGGACUGUCAACCAAUAUUUAAGGACCUAGUCUUUUGUGGCGCAACGCAAAGCUCACUCUCAGUAGUAUUUACAUCUGCAGCGGUUACUUUCAAAAGCAUGUGGAUAUUUAAUAAGCAGAAUUUUUCAAUCUUAACAGCCUCUAAAAAGUAAGAGUCCCUCUUCCAGCAACGCCAAGAAGUGAGAGCGAUGUCAAUACCCCGCCUUGUAAAUUGUGAAAGCCGCCCAUCGUUCUGCUUUCUUGGAAUGCAUCAUGUAACCGCUCAAACAGCAAAGGACAAAGAAGGAAACACACAGGACAGGCGCGGAACUUCAACUGGCCGCCAUAUUUAACAGGGAUAGGCGGCCUAGUUGCGGCCGCCUAUCCCUGUUAAAUAUGUUCUGCUUUCACAGGAGUGAGUGUAACUGUGAUUAACCACCUACAUUUUGAUCUCUUCGACCACUUUUGAAAAUAAACAGCAGGUGUUAUAAACUUGCGUUGUUGUAGAGACAUUUCUUAUAUUUGUGCCGCAUUUUCCCCAAAUACGUGCCUAUGCCAUGGCUGGCUGGCCCCCGUCGUUGUUGUUCUGUCGAUAGAUGAGCCAAGCCAACUCAUCGAAAACAAAGGUGAAGGCAUCACCACUUUUCUGCUCACUGCAAACGAAGGCUUAUCUGCACGUUGUAAGUCAGGAAAACAAGACCAGCAACCGCAUACACUAGUAGAAGGUCACGCAGUGGGCCUCUUAUUCAGCUUCAUGUUUUUGCCGCGUGUGGCCCCAGAGGACAUUUUUCACAACUUUUAGUGAUGAAUUAAAAAUAUAAAUCCAUGUUUAAUGAGAAAAA
Molecule: long non-coding RNA, 1004 nt
Filed under: Dermacentor andersoni
Lineage: Eukaryota; Metazoa; Arthropoda; Arachnida; Ixodida; Ixodidae
Description: uncharacterized LOC126521220
Source: RNAcentral